Molecule: small nucleolar RNA, 94 nt
Organism: Macaca fascicularis (crab-eating macaque)
Lineage: Eukaryota; Metazoa; Chordata; Mammalia; Primates; Cercopithecidae
Source: Ensembl
AUCCUUUUGUAGUUGAUAAGUGUGAUGAUUAGGUGUGAGAUGUGCCUUCCUUAAACCUUGUUACAAACCUUGUUAGCACAUUACCUGUCUAAUG